AUGUAUUGUAGGUUAAACAAGGUGGUGUGAUAGCUUUCAUCACGGUGGUGAAUCACUGGAUACCGGUGCGGCUACUCUCGGGACGAAUGGAGUUAUCCAGUUGACCAACCACGAAGGAUGUUGCGUUAUGGUGAAGGUACCUUCAUGUAAUCCCAACUCCCGUAGUAGGUGAUGCACCUCAGAGAAGUGAGUGGGUCUUGCCUCUCUUUUCAACAAUGAGCUUGUGUAUGCCCC
Molecule: non-coding RNA, 234 nt
Organism: Pelobates cultripes (western spadefoot toad)
Lineage: Eukaryota; Metazoa; Chordata; Amphibia; Anura; Pelobatidae
Source: the annotation of a GenBank genome assembly